This 829-nucleotide ribosomal RNA is filed under the name uncultured bacterium. Its description in RNAcentral is "bacterial SSU rRNA". It matches the Rfam family "Bacterial small subunit ribosomal RNA", at positions 94 to 954 of the family's 1533-position model. The record is from RNAcentral.
CGUGGCGCACGGGUGAGUAACAUGUGACUAACCUACCCUGGAGUGGGGGAUAACUGAGGGAAACCUUAGCUAAUACCGCAUAACACCUACGGGUCAAAGGAGCAAUUCGCUUCAGGAGGGGGUCGCGGCCGAUUAGUUAGUUGGCAGGGUAAUGGCCUACCAAGACGAUGAUCGGUAUCCGGCCUGAGAGGGCGCACGGACACACUGGAACUGAAACACGGUCCAGACUCCUACGGGAGGCAGCAGUGGGGAAUUUUGCGCAAUGGGGGAAACCCUGACGCAGCAACGCCGCGUGGAGGAUGAAGUCCUUCGGGACGUAAACUCCUUUCGAUCGGGACGAUUAUGACGGUACCGGAAGAAGAAGCCCCGGCUAACUUCGUGCCAGCAGCCGCGGUAAUACGAGGGGGGCGAGCGUUGUUCGGAAUUAUUGGGCGUAAAGGGUGCGUAGGCGGUUUGGUAAGUCUUUUGUGAAAUCUCUGGGCUCAACUCAGAGUCUGCACGAGAAACUGCCGGGCUGGAGUGUGGGAGAGGUGAGUGGAAUUCCCGGUGUAGCGGUGAAAUGCGUGGAUAUCGGGAGGAACACCUGUGGCGAAAGCGGCUCACUGGACCAUAACUGACGCUGAUGCACGAAAGCUAGGGGAGCAAACAGGAUUAGAUACCCUGGUAGUCCUAGCCCUAAACGAUGAUCGCUUGGUGUGGCGGGUAUCCAACCCUGCCGUGCCGAAGCUAACGCGUUAAGCGAUCCGCCUGGGGAGUACGGUCGCAAGGCUGAAACUCAAAGGAAUUGACGGGGGCCCGCACAAGCGGUGGAACAUGUGGUUCAAUUCGA